Molecule: ribosomal RNA, 407 nt
Filed under: uncultured bacterium
Lineage: Bacteria
Description: bacterial SSU rRNA
Rfam family: Bacterial small subunit ribosomal RNA
Source: RNAcentral
GUCGGGAAUAUUGCGCAAUGGAGGAAACUCUGACGCAGUGACGCCGCGUAUAGGAAGAAGGUUUUCGGAUUGUAAACUAUUGUCCACAGGGAAGAAAAAAGACUGUACCUGUGAAGAAAGCUCCGGCUAACUACGUGCCAGCAGCCGCGGUAAUACGUAGGGAGCAAGCGUUAUCCGGAAUUAUUGGGUGUAAAGGGUGCGUAGACGGGAUAACAAGUUGGUUGUGAAACCCCUCGGCUCAACUGAGGAACUGCAACCAAAACUAUUAUUCUUGAGUGCAGGAGAGGAAAGUGGAAUUCCUAGUGUAGCGGUGAAAUGCGUAGAUAUUAGGAAGAACACCGGUGGCGAAGGCGACUUUCUGGACUGUAACUGACGUUGAGGCACGAAAGUGUGGGGAGCAAACAGGA